GGAUCCAGACUUUGAUUCUGGCUCAGGACGAACGCUGGCGGCGCGCCUAACACAUGCAAGUCGAGCGGGAAGCUUUUUAAGGAUUCUUCGGAUGAAUUAAAAAGUGGAGAGCGGCCGGACGGGUGAGUAACGCGUGAGAAACCUGCCCUAUACAGGGGGAUAGCCAUUGGAAACGAUGAUUAAUACCCCAUAUGACCACAGUAUCGCAUGAUACAGCGGUGAAAACUCCGGUGGUAUAGGAUGGUCUCGCGUCUGAUUAGCUAGUUGGUGGGGUAACGGCCUACCAAGGCGACGAUCAGUAGCCGGCCUGAGAGGGUGACCGGCCACACUGGAACUGAGACACGGUCCAGACUCCUACGGGAGGCAGCAGUGGGGAAUAUUGCACAAUGGGCGAAAGCCUGAUGCAGCGACCCCGCGUGACCGAUGAAGGCUUUUCGAGUCGUAAAGUUCUGUUCUUGGGGAANAUAACGACGGUCCCCAAGGAGAAAGCCCCGGCUAAAUACGUGCCAGCAGCCCCGG
RNAcentral lists this ribosomal RNA (519 nucleotides) under uncultured bacterium. RNAcentral describes it as "bacterial SSU rRNA". It matches the Rfam family "Bacterial small subunit ribosomal RNA", at positions 1 to 520 of the family's 1533-position model. The record is from RNAcentral.